RNAcentral lists this ribosomal RNA (440 nucleotides) under uncultured Exiguobacterium sp. Its description in RNAcentral is "bacterial SSU rRNA". It matches the Rfam family "Bacterial small subunit ribosomal RNA", at positions 358 to 790 of the family's 1533-position model. The record is from RNAcentral. Lineage: Bacteria; Bacillati; Bacillota; Bacilli; Caryophanales.
GGAAUCUUCCACAAUGGACGAAAGUCUGAUGGAGCAACGCCGCGUGAGUGAUGAAGGUUUUCGGAUCGUAAAACUCUGUUGUAAGGGAAGAACAAGUACGAGAGGUAAUGCUCGUACCUUGACGGUACCUUGCGAGAAAGCCACGGCUAACUACGUGCCAGCAGCCGCGGUAAUACGUAGGUGGCAAGCGUUGUCCGGAAUUAUUGGGCGUAAAGCGCGCGCAGGCGGCCUUUUAAGUCUGAUGUGAAAGCCCCCGGCUCAACCGGGGAGGGUCAUUGGAAACUGGAAGGCUUGAGUACAGAAGAGAAGAGUGGAAUUCCAUGUGUAGCGGUGAAAUGCGUAGAGAUGUGGAGGAACACCAGUGGCGAAGGCGACUCUUUGGUCUGUAACUGACGCUGAGGCGCGAAAGCGUGGGGAGCAAACAGGAUUAGAUACCCUUG